AGCAGCCGCGGUAAUUCCAGCUCCAAUAGCGUAUAUUAAAGUUGUUGCAGUUAAAAAGCUCGUAGUUGAAUUUCGGGGUCAGCAAGUUGGUCGUGCCACCGGUAUGCACUGGCUUUGCUGAUUCCUCCUUCUUGUAGAACCGUAAUGCCAUUAAGUUGGUGUUGCGGGGAAACAGGACUGUUACUUUGAAAAAAUUAGAGUGUUUAAAGCAGGCUAAGGCUUGAAUACAUUAGCAUGGAAUAAUGAAAUGGGACGACGAUCCUAUUUUGUUGGUUUCUAGGAUUGACGUAAUGAUUAAUAGGGAUAGUUGGGGGCAUUAGUAUUCAAUUGUCAGAGGUGAAAUUCUUGGAUUUAUUGAAGACUGACUACUGCGAAAGCAUUUGCCAAGGAUGUUUUCAUUAAUCAAGAACGAAAGUUAGGGGAUCGAAGACGAUCAGAUACCGUCGUAGUCUUAACCAUAAACUAUGCCGACUAGGGAUCGGAUGAUGUUAAUUUUAUAAUGACUCA
This 507-nucleotide ribosomal RNA is filed under the name uncultured organism. RNAcentral describes it as "SSU rRNA". It matches the Rfam family "Eukaryotic small subunit ribosomal RNA", at positions 569 to 1078 of the family's 1831-position model. The record is from RNAcentral.